UCCAAAAAAUGACAUACUAUAGUAUGACAUACGAAACAUUUCCAUGUUUCGUAUGUCAUUUUUUUGGACAUUUUCAACGUCAUAGUAUAGUAUGUCAUUUUUUUGGAUAUUUUCGACGUCAAACGAUAACUUUUAGAUGACAGGAGGCGAUUCUUAGGAUUUGGUUGAUGUGGUAGAAUAUGGAGAGAUUACUGUCAAAGAUGACUCCCAAGGUCGCAGGUGUCAGUGGAGCAAGACGAAGUGGGGUUGUCAGUGGUGAAACUGAAGUUGAUGGCGGUUUCGGUGAGGAGUUUGGGACAGACAACCAUGAUGUCUGGCUUGUCACAGUUGAAUUGGAGAAAGUUUGAGUGCAUCAAUGACAUCAGGUCAGUGUGGAGUAACCCAUCAUCGGCAUAGCAGUGGAAGUGGAACCCAGGGGCAUCAUGUACAGGAUGGAUGGUAGAGACCAAGCACCAAGCCGAGGGGAUGCCUUGUGAUUGAAGAUAGUUGGAGAAGGUGCAGUUGUUGGUUCUGAUGAAGGGUAUUGUAUUAGGUAUGUUUUAUCUUUUGUGUUAGCAUGUUAAUGUUUGAUAAUUGGAUGGUACAAAGUUGAAGUUAAAUUAAACUUGUCUUAGACAUAAGAAGUAAGUAAAUGUGUCAGUUUUAACUGAAUUGAUCUCUGUCAUAUUUCUAUUCAGUCCACGUGGGACCUGAGCUGCUCCACACCUACUCAAAGUUCUACAAGCACGAUAUUCUCCUGCUGGUUGUUCGUCUGGCUGUGCUGGCCGCUGUCACACUCACGGUUCCUGUGGUGCUCUUCCCUAUUCGUACCUCAGUCGGCCACCUGCUGUUCC
This is a long non-coding RNA of Xiphophorus hellerii (green swordtail), 833 nucleotides long. RefSeq lists it as uncharacterized. The record is from RefSeq and is a predicted model, not a curated record. Lineage: Eukaryota; Metazoa; Chordata; Actinopteri; Cyprinodontiformes; Poeciliidae. The transcript is spliced from 2 exons.